Molecule: unclassified non-coding RNA, 416 nt
Filed under: soil metagenome
Description: partial contains 5.8S ribosomal RNA, internal transcribed spacer 2, and large subunit ribosomal RNA
Rfam family: 5.8S ribosomal RNA (bases 1-120)
Source: RNAcentral
GAUGAAGAACGUAGCGAAAGGCGAUAAGUAAUGUGAAUUGCAGAAUUCAGUGAAUCAUCGAAUCUUUGAACGCACCUUGCACUCCUUGGUAUUCCGAGGAGUACGCCUGUUCGAGUGUUAUGAAGCUCUCAAAACGCAAUUGGCUUAAAACCUGAUUGUUGUUUUGGAUUUGAACUUUGCCGUGUUAUAACGGCUGGUUUUAAAAGUAUUAGCUGGUACUAGAACGAAUUGGUUCUACUCAACGUGAUAAUUAUCUGAUCGUUGAGGACAUUCCUUUCACGAGGAAUGGCCAUAGUAAAUUCAAUGGACUGCUUCUAAUCUGGCUUUAAUUCUUUAUUGGAUUAACCACUUUUCAAAUCUGACCUCGAAUCAGGUGGGACUACCCGCUGAACUUAAGCAUAUCAAUAAGCGGAGGA